Molecule: long non-coding RNA, 216 nt
Organism: Synchiropus splendidus (mandarinfish)
Lineage: Eukaryota; Metazoa; Chordata; Actinopteri; Syngnathiformes; Callionymidae
Exons: 3
Source: RefSeq, a predicted model, not a curated record
UGAGAGAUCACCAAUACAAAUCCUCUCUGGGAAGCAAGAAGAAACAAAUCCAAAUACAUUUGAUCAGUUAUUAGAUCAUGCGUUGAAAUGGGUGGAGUCCAGAGAAACAUUCUCCUGUGCUUGCUGUGCUUCUUUGAUGUGAUUCCACCAUAUUUCUGCACUGGACUUCACGGUCAAACUGUGAGGUUCUCUCCUCAAGUUGCCAUUCACAUGGAG